AGUGAACGCUGGCGGUAGGCCUAACACAUGCAAGUCGAACGGCAGCACAGUAAGAGCUUGCUCUUACGGGUGGCGAGUGGCGGACGGGUGAGGAAUACAUCGGAAUCUACUUUUUCGUGGGGGAUAACGUAGGGAAACUUACGCUAAUACCGCAUACGACCUACGGGUGAAAGCAGGGGAUCUUCGGACCUUGCGCGAUUGAAUGAGCCGAUGUCGGAUUAGCUAGUUGGCGGGGUAAAGGCCCACCAAGGCGACGAUCCGUAGCUGGUCUGAGAGGAUGAUCCGCCACACUGGAACUGAGACCCGGUCCAGACUCCUACGGGAGGCAGCAGUGGGGAAUAUUGGACAAAGGGCGCAAGCCUGAUCCAGCCAUACCGCGUGGGUGAAGAAGGCCUUCGGGUUGUAAAGCCCUUUUGUUGGGAAAGAAAAGCAGCAGGUUAAUACCCCGCUGUUCUGACGGUACCCAAAGAAUAAGCACCGGCUAACUUCGUG
This 492-nucleotide ribosomal RNA is filed under the name uncultured bacterium. RNAcentral describes it as "partial 16S ribosomal RNA". It matches the Rfam family "Bacterial small subunit ribosomal RNA", at positions 29 to 507 of the family's 1533-position model. The record is from RNAcentral.